AAAUUGAAGAGUUUGAUCAUGGCUCAGAUUGAACGCUGGCGGCAGGCCUAACACAUGCAAGUCGAACGGUAACAGGAAGCAGCUUGCUGCUUUGCUGACGAGUGGCGGACGGGUGAGUAAUGUCUGGGAAACUGCCUGAUGGAGGGGGAUAACUACUGGAAACGGUGGCUAAUACCGCAUAACGUCGCAAGACCAAAGAGGGGGACCUUCGGGCCUCUUGCCAUCAGAUGUGCCCAGAUGGGAUUAGCUUGUUGGUGAGGUAACGGCUCACCAAGGCGACGAUCCCUAGCUGGUCUGAGAGGAUGACCAGCCACACUGGAACUGAGACACGGUCCAGACUCCUACGGGAGGCAGCAGUGGGGAAUAUUGCACAAUGGGCGCAAGCCUGAUGCAGCCAUGCCGCGUGUAUGAAGAAGGCCUUCGGGUUGUAAAGUACUUUCAGCGGGGAGGAAGGUGUUGUGGUUAAUAACCACAGCAAUUGACGUUACCCGCAGAAGAAGCACCGGCUAACUCCGUGCCAGCAGCCGCGGUAAUACGGAGGGUGCAAGCGUUAAUCGGAAUUACUGGGCGUAAAGCGCACGCAGGCGGUCUGUCAAGUCGG
This 601-nucleotide ribosomal RNA is filed under the name Salmonella enterica subsp. enterica serovar Agona str. SA-4. Its description in RNAcentral is "bacterial SSU rRNA". It matches the Rfam family "Bacterial small subunit ribosomal RNA", at positions 1 to 591 of the family's 1533-position model. Lineage: Bacteria; Pseudomonadati; Pseudomonadota; Gammaproteobacteria; Enterobacterales; Enterobacteriaceae. The record is from RNAcentral.